This 424-nucleotide ribosomal RNA is filed under the name Verrucomicrobiota bacterium. RNAcentral describes it as "Verrucomicrobia bacterium partial 16S ribosomal RNA". It matches the Rfam family "Bacterial small subunit ribosomal RNA", at positions 355 to 776 of the family's 1533-position model. RNAcentral also lists the same sequence under 1 other name. Lineage: Bacteria; Pseudomonadati; Verrucomicrobiota. The record is from RNAcentral.
UGAGGAAUAUUGGUCAAUGGGCGAGAGCCUGAACCAGCCAAGUAGCGUGCAGGAUGACGGCCCUAUGGGUUGUAAACUGCUUUUAUGUGGGGAUAAAGUGCGUGACGUGUCAUGCAUUGCAGGUACCACAUGAAUAAGGACCGGCUAAUUCCGUGCCAGCAGCCGCGGUAAUACGGAAGGUCCGGGCGUUAUCCGGAGUUAUUGGGUUUAAAGGGAGCGUAGGCUGUCUAUUAAGCGUGUUGUGAAAUUUACCGGCUCAACCGGUGGCUUGCAGCGCGAACUGGUCGACUUGAGUAUGCAGGAAGUAGGCGGAAUUCAUGGUGUAGCGGUGAAAUGCUUAGAUAUCAUGACGAACUCCGAUUGCGCAGGCAGCUUACUGUAGCAUAACUGACGCUGAUGCUCGAAAGUGCGGGUAUCAAACAGG